AGAGGAUGGACACAGGUUAGAGGAUGGACACAGGUUAGAGGAUGGACACAGAUUAGAGGAUGGACACAGGUUAGAGGAUGGACACAGGUCAGAGGAUGGACACAGGUUAGAGGAUGGACACAGGUUAGAGGAUGGACACAGGUUAGAGGAUGGACACAGGUUAGAGGAUGGACACAGGUCAGAGGAUGGACACAGGUUAGAGGAUGGACACAGGUCAGAGGAUGGACACAGGUCAGAGGAUGGACACAGGUUAGAGGAUGGACACAGGUUAGAGGAUGGACACAGAUUAGAGGAUGGACACAGGUUAGAGGAUGGACACAGAUUAGAGGAUGGACACAGGUUAGAGGAUGGACACAGGUUAGAGGAUGGACACAGAUUAGAGGAUGGACACAGGUCAGAGGAUGGACACAGGUUAGAGGAUGGACACAGGUCAGAGGAUGGACACAGGUUAGAGGAUGGACACAGGUUAGAGGAUGGACACAGGUUAGAGGAUGGACACAGGUCAGAGGAUGGACACAGGUUAGAGGAUGGACACAGGUUAGAGGAUGGACACAGGUCAGAGGAUGGACACAGGUUAGAGGAUGGACACAGGUUAGAGGAUGGACACAGGUUAGAGGAUGGACACAGGUCAGAGGAUGGACACAGGUUAGAGGAUGGACACAGGUCAGAGGAUGGACA
Molecule: long non-coding RNA, 678 nt
Organism: Fundulus heteroclitus (mummichog)
Lineage: Eukaryota; Metazoa; Chordata; Actinopteri; Cyprinodontiformes; Fundulidae
Exons: 6
Source: RefSeq, a predicted model, not a curated record